Molecule: ribosomal RNA, 531 nt
Filed under: uncultured bacterium
Lineage: Bacteria
Description: partial 16S ribosomal RNA
Rfam family: Bacterial small subunit ribosomal RNA
Source: RNAcentral
UAGGGAAUCUUCGGCAAUGGACGAAAGUCUGACCGAGCAACGCCGCGUGAGUGAAGAAGGUUUUCGGAUCGUAAAACUCUGUUGGUAGAGAAGAACGUUGGUGAGAGUGGAAAGCUCAUCAAGUGACGGUAACUACCCAGAAAGGGACGGCUAACUACGUGCCAGCAGCCGCGGUAAUACGUAGGUCCCGAGCGUUGUCCGGAUUUAUUGGGCGUAAAGCGAGCGCAGGUGGUUUAUUAAGUCUGGUGUAAAAGGCAGUGGCUCAACCAUUGUAUGCAUUGGAAACUGGUAGACUUGAGUGCAGGAGAGGAGAGUGGAAUUCCAUGUGUAGCGGUGAAAUGCGUAGAUAUAUGGAGGAACACCGGUGGCGAAAGCGGCUCUCUGGCCUGUAACUGACACUGAGGCUCGAAAGCGUGGGGAGCAAACAGGAUUAGAUAGCCCUGGUAGUCCACGCCGUAAACGAUGAGUGCUAGAUGUAGGGAGCUAUAAGUUCUCUGUAUCGCAGCUAACGCAAUAAGCACUCCGCCUGGG